This is an RNA transcript of Ziziphus jujuba (common jujube), 3041 nucleotides long. It is a transcript of the gene named sm-like protein LSM5, with no coding region annotated. The transcript has 6 exons. NCBI's taxonomy places the organism in Eukaryota, Viridiplantae, Streptophyta, Magnoliopsida, Rosales, Rhamnaceae. The record is from RefSeq and is a predicted model, not a curated record.
AUAUUCCACCGAAAACUCCAAAAUUAAAAAAACAAAUAUAAAACUGAGAAAGCGGGCCGUGACAGGGCCCUGGAGGAGAAUUGGAAUAAUGAGAGGAAGAAGCCCCUGGAAUCAUGGUAGUACGCCUUAUUCCAAUCCGGAAACCGGGACUGACAGCAAACACUUAUCGGCAUGCUUAAAGGCUUAAUCCUGUUCCGGUCCCCAACCGUUAUACCUUUCUUCUGCAAUGAGUCCAUUCCGCGCUUCGCAAAGUGUUUAAUGAUGCGUCUGUAAUAGCCUAUGUGUCCCAAAAAAGAACGCGCUACGCCCGGCCCCCUUUUCAGUAGAUGAUCGUAGGCUGAUUUGACUCCUUCUUCCCGGGAUUCUUCUCGAAAGAGAAUCCCUCUAACACUUCAGUUACUGGUUUAUGAAAAACCUUCGCCGCAUAUCCAGACCACCAAGUGUGAAAAUCCUUAGUCACUAGGCAAGAAAGCUCGCAUAGAAGCUUUAAGAGAUAGGGGGACAUCCACCGAAGAUGGCAGCGGGAAAGACGGAAGCACGAACGAGCUCUGGUACUCAAUCUUGGGUCUUUGGUGUGGGUCGGAUCAUGAUAACUGAAUCCCAACUCCAGGAUAUCAAGUUAUGAACGUACUAGACCUACUAGUUAUUGAAGAUACCAUUCGAGGGUGCCGAUGUCCCAGAUCAGAUGGUUGUGGAUAUGGAUCCACCAAGGUGGUUGAUCUAGGAUACAGACCAAGAGAACCGGGUGAUUGCUCCAAGCUUUUUAGCGCACUUUCAAGUUUCGCAGCUCUUAUUUGCAGCCGAGAGGAGCUCCAUAACCAUCGGCUUCUACCACGGCCAGAGUUUUCUGCAUCCAUGGCUAACAAUCCUUCACAGCUACUCCCCUCAGAGUUGAUCGACCGCUGCAUAGGUUCCAAAAUAUGGGUAAUAAUGAAGGGUGACAAGGAGCUCGUCGGCACUCUUAGGGGAUUCGAUGUUUACGUCAACAUGGUCCUCGAAGACGUCACCGAAUAUGAGAUCACUGCUGAAGGAAGACGGAUAACCAAGCUUGACCAGAUUCUAUUGAACGGAAACAACAUUGCCAUUCUUGUCCCUGGCGGUUCACCUGAAUCUGAGUGAGUAACAAUGGAUGUCUAUGCAGUGAACGAUCUUUCAUCAUGUGGUGGGAGCUGACAGCUUAUAGGUGAUUGACGACAGAGAAACUGGAAAAUAAAAGAAUAUACAAGUUUUGGCUGCUGAUAAUCAGAAUGGGCGUUUAUAACAGCGCUGCAAAGGAUAUUGAUGAUGGUGUUGGUGAUGAGCAUGAGUGACAUUUAUGAUUAGCUUCAAUUAUUUCCGACAAUCAUGAAUAUUUAGAUUGAAGGUCAUUAACCUGGUAAACCAUAUUCAGUUUUUCAUAUUCAGUUCAGCCGGGUUUUAAUGACUGAUGUAGCAAUUUUCUUUUUCCUUUCCCGAGUAAACAACAAGUCUGUUUUAGCAAAUUCUAAAAAUAUGGUUGGUCUGAUUUUUUCUCUUCCUGCUUUGACUUUGACUGUUUGGUCUGAUUUAUUACAAAUGCUUCGUUUAUUUUUGUUUUUGUUGUUUUGUUUUUUUUUUCGUUUCUGUUUUCUUAGGGAAUCCAAGGCGCUUUAUCUUCACAUAUAAAAGGUUGGUCUGAUUGAUUUCUUCUCUCACCAAUAGAUGUUCCUCUUUCAAACAAUUUGACAUUAAAAUAAAUGUUAUAGACUAUAUAGUGGUGAGUAAUAAUAAAAAUGAGAAUAAUGCUAAUAAGUAAAUAAAUAAAUGAAUAGAAAGAGUAAAACGCAUCGUUUAAAUCCCGUAGGAGGCUGAGAAAACAUAUUGUAAGGUACGAAGAACAAUUUGGCAUAUCUGGUAAAAGCCAAGAAAUAAUGAACUUGGAGCUGCUAAAAAAGCUUACUAGAUUCGUCACUAAUACAUUCAUUAUUAUUAAGAAUGAGUGAAAGUCACCAAUAGUCAAACAGAAAAAUAUAUAACAAAUCAUAAAAAAUAAGAAUAAUAAAAAUAACAUAUUAAACACACUCUCAAAAACAAGUUUUCCAUGAGCAGGUUUGGUCUUGCGGCCCAUCUUUAUCGCUCUACAUACCCUCCAACAUUUUAUCUCAAAAAAGAAAAAACAUAAUCCAUCAUAGCCAUUUCCCACCGACCAUGGCCAAGUCACAUCAAAAUUCAAGCACGCCUAAAUUUUUACUAAGAGUAAAGAAACAAAAAAACUAUGUUACUCCGUGAUAACUAGAAAUUUGCUCUACAAAAUCCAUCUUCCCCAAUUUAUCAAAGAAAGAAACACGUAAAAAUUUAGAAAGUAUCAAAUCUUCUGAGAUUAUUUUUUGUUCCAUAUUAAAGAAAUAAAAAUUGGUAAGAAAGGGAAAUAAAAUACUUAAAAAAAAAUUAAAAAAAAAAUCAUGGGCUAGCACCGCGUAGGGCGGGGGUUAAUCGGGUUGGCUAGGACCGGGACGGCAUGGAAGUACAGAAAGGCCGGCGGUUUUAUUAGCGCGCCGCUGGAGCUCCAUCCUCCUGUUUGGGUUGCCAAAUCAGCUUCGGUCUGUGGUUUACACGCGCCCGACGACAAAUGAAGAGCAGAAGAUUUUAGGAGCUCAGACUUUGACAAAAAUAGAAGAUUUUAAAAUUAAAAGAAAAAAAAAUUAAUAAUUUAAAAAUAAAAAAAUGAAGAGACGUUCAGACAAACAGAGCCAAAGGGGCUCAAGGGAUAAAGACGGCGGUGGGUUAGAUAAUAAAUGGUUUCUACUCUACUCUGCAUGUAUUAUUCUUGACUCCUCCAUUUUCGCCGCCAGUGAAUCGUAGCCGAAUUUUCAUCUCCGGCGAAGAGUUCGUUGACAUCGCACCGUACCAUCAUUUGGACCCACGAACGAUGAUAAAAUAGACCAACCCAGAGACAAAAAGGGCCACACCUAUGAUCUAUCUAUCAUUAAUAGUAACAUAUUACGGCCAAUCACCACGGUCGGAUUAUGAUUCAUGAUAUUUGUAUUCAUAAAUUAUUAAUUUAAAAAGGGUCACCUUUAUUC